RNAcentral lists this small RNA (276 nucleotides) under Vigna angularis var. angularis. RNAcentral describes it as "Non-protein coding transcript". The record is from RNAcentral. Lineage: Eukaryota; Viridiplantae; Streptophyta; Magnoliopsida; Fabales; Fabaceae.
GGAAUUUAAGCCUCCUAAGUUUUACGGAGAGCCUCUAAAUUACCUUAAGUAUGUAUAAUAUCCCCUGUGACGCAAGGGUGUAACCCCUUUCUCAUAAGCAUUCUAAAGGUUGUGGAGAGCUGUUAUCAGACUGGGUUGCUAUGAUGUGGUAUUUCAAGCAAUUGGUGCUGUCAGAGGAUUUCUAAGACCAUAUUCUCUUAUCGCAAUUAUAUUUAUUUACAUAUCCCUGUAUAGAAGGGUCUCCAACAACAUUUAAAUCACAUUCUAGUAGAUUGG